GACGAACGCUGGCGGCGUGCUUAACACAUGCAAGUCGAACGGCAAGGCCCUGCUUUUGUUGGGGGCUCGAGUGGCGAACGGGUGUGUCACACGUGAGUAACCUGCCCUUUACUUUGGGAUAACUUCAGAAAACUGGGGCAUAUAGCGGAUGGUAGCUCCUGCUGCAUGGUGGGGGUUGGAAAGUUUCGGCGGUUGGGGAUGGACGCGCGGCUUAUCAGCUUGUUGGUGGGGUAGUGGCUUACCAUGGCUUUGACGGGUAGCCGGCCUGAGAGGGUGACCGGCCACAUUGGGACUGAGAGACGGCCCAGACUCCUACGGGAGGCAGCAGUGGGGAAUAUUACACAAUGGGAGGAAGCCUGAGGAAGCAACGCCGCGGGCGGGAAGACGGCCUUCGGGUGGUAAACCGCUUUCGCCUGUGACGAAGCGUGAGUGACGGUAAUGGGUAAAGAAGCACCGGCUAACUACGUG
Molecule: ribosomal RNA, 468 nt
Filed under: uncultured bacterium
Lineage: Bacteria
Description: partial 16S ribosomal RNA
Rfam family: Bacterial small subunit ribosomal RNA
Source: RNAcentral